UACGUAGGUGGCAAGCGUUGUCCGGAUUUACUGGGUGUAAAGGGCGUGCAGCCGGAGAGACAAGUCAGAUGUGAAAUCCACGGGCUCAACUCGUGAACUGCGUUUGAAACUGUUUCCCUUGAGUGUCGGAGAGGUAAUCGGAAUUCCUUGUGUAGCGGUGAAAUGCGUAGAUAUAAGGAAGAACACCAGUGGCGAAGGCGGAUUACUGGACGAUAACUGACGGUGAGGCGCGAAAGCGUGGGGAGCAAACAGG
RNAcentral lists this ribosomal RNA (253 nucleotides) under uncultured bacterium. RNAcentral describes it as "partial 16S ribosomal RNA". It matches the Rfam family "Bacterial small subunit ribosomal RNA", at positions 524 to 776 of the family's 1533-position model. The record is from RNAcentral.